UGAAUGGAUGAAUGGGUGGAUGACACCGGA
This 30-nucleotide non-coding RNA is filed under the name Mus musculus (house mouse). RNAcentral also lists the same sequence under 1 other name. The record is from RNAcentral. Lineage: Eukaryota; Metazoa; Chordata; Mammalia; Rodentia; Muridae.